This 253-nucleotide ribosomal RNA is filed under the name uncultured bacterium. RNAcentral's name for it is "partial 16S ribosomal RNA". It matches the Rfam family "Bacterial small subunit ribosomal RNA", at positions 524 to 776 of the family's 1533-position model. The record is from RNAcentral.
UACAGAGGUCUCAAGCGUUGUUCGGAUUCAUUGGGCGUAAAGAGCGCGUAGGCGGUCCGAUAAGUCGGCUGUGAAAGUCAGGGGCUCAACCCUUGAAAGCCGGCCGAUACUGUCGGACUAGAGUCCGGAAGAGGCAAGUGGAAUUCCCGGUGUAGCGGUGAAAUGCGCAGAUAUCGGGAGGAACACCAAUGGCGAAGGCAGCUUGCUGGGACGGUACUGACGCUGAGGCGCGAAAGCGUGGGGAGCAAACAGG